RNAcentral lists this long non-coding RNA (1015 nucleotides) under Strigops habroptila (Kakapo). Its description in RNAcentral is "lncRNA (ENSSHBG00005001955.1)". The record is from RNAcentral. Lineage: Eukaryota; Metazoa; Chordata; Aves; Psittaciformes; Psittacidae.
GAUGAGAAUUUGUCUGGGGUUACAGCAUGGGCUGGUAGCAGAGUAAGGGCCACAUAUGUGACUCUUGCCCCUCCUCAGCUCUCCUCUUCUUGCUGCUUAUUGGGAUAAUGACUUAGUUAAUGAGUUGUUCUUGUUCAUUUGAAGGGAGAACCGGGUCCACCAGGCAAAGGAGUGGAAAUGGAGGAUCUAGAGAGGCUUUUUGAAGCAAAUGGUAUCAAGCUGGCAUUGCUGAAGGACCUCUCCAAUGUGCUCCUGCAGAAUGGGCUGGAUGGCCUCAUGUGGCAGCUCGGUGGCUCCAGGACAAGCCAGACCUCCAGGAGAAAGCAGGCAGCUCUGCAUAUCACUGAGCACAGUGGUCCAUCUGCUGGUGGUUCUGAACCUGAGUACCUGUCCCUAGGGGACCCUCCUGAGUCCUUGGAGAAAACAUCUGAGGAAAGAAGGAAGGAGACAGACUCAAAAGGGGCAAACAGUUCUCUCAGCGGUGGCUUGGCUGUGCCCCCACCAGACCCAGAAGAUGAUCUACAAGGAAGCCAGUCCAUGGGGCUUCAGGAGUCCUUGGAGGACAGGGUGGAAGGACAACCAGAGCAGGACACCAGCCAUGAAAAUGUGAAUUCAGAUGAAGGCUCUGCACUCCUAAGGCAUGUUAGAGCCAGGAGAUCUGCUGAGCACAAGGCACACAAGGUUCAUCCCCCUGGUGCCCCAGGAGCUCGGAAAUCCCUGCCUGGAUCUGCGGUGAGCGAAGACUCCAUACAAUGCAUACAAGGGGAAUGCUGAUUGCCCACUUGUGCAAAGUCACAGUGAAUGUAGAGAGUCAGGUGAAAAGUUAGUGAUAAAUAUGAAUAAAUAAAGGAAGAAAGAGCUGCUGCAGAAGCAUCUUUCUUGGCAGAGCAGAUUGUUCUCCCUGUAUCUGGCAAGGGGCUUGGAAACAGAAGCGGGGAAAAUCAAACUCAAUCAAUCAAUGAGAGAACAUAGUAACUUGGUUCAUGGGGAAGGCAGCAUAAGUGAAGGGUAUUUU